This 1428-nucleotide ribosomal RNA is filed under the name uncultured Acidobacteriota bacterium. RNAcentral describes it as "uncultured Acidobacteria bacterium 16S ribosomal RNA". It matches the Rfam family "Bacterial small subunit ribosomal RNA". The record is from RNAcentral. Lineage: Bacteria; Pseudomonadati; Acidobacteriota.
ACGCUGGCGGCGUGCCUUACACAUGCAAGUCGUACGGGAAAGCGGGGGCAACUCCGUGAGUAUAGUGGCGCACGUGUGAGUAACACGUGACUACCUACCUUUGAGUGGGGGAUAACCCCGCGGAAACCGGGGCUAAUACCGCAUAAACAUCGCGAGAUCAAAGAAGCAAUUCGCUUAUGGAGGGGGUCGCGGCUGAUUAGCUAGUUGGUAGGGUAAUGGCCUACCAAGGCGAUGAUCGGAAGCCGGCCUGAGAGGGCUCACGGCCACGCUGGAACUGAAACACGGUCCAGACUCCUACGGGAGGCAGCUGUGGGGAAUUUUGCGCAAUGCGGGAAACCCUGACGCAGCAACCCCGCGUGGAGGAUGAAGUCCCUUGAGACGUAAACUCCUUUCGACCGGGACGAUUAUGACGGUUCCGGAGGAAGAAGCCCCGGCUAACUUCGUGCCAGCAUGCCGCGGUAAUACUGAGGGGGGCAAGCGUUGUUCGCAAUUAUUGGUCGUAAAGGGCGCGUAGGCAGUGCGUUACGUCUCCUGUGAAAACUCUGGGAUCAACUCACAGCCUGGAGGCGAAACUGCCGUGCUUGUGUGUGGGAGAGGUGCGUGCAAUUCCUGGUGUAGCGGUGAAAUGCGUAGAUAUGGGGACGAACACCUGUGGCGAGAGCGCGUCACUGGACGACAUCUGACGCUGAGGCGCGAGAGCUCGGGGAGCACACAGCAUUAGAUACCUCGGUAGUCCUAGCACUCAGCUAAGAUAGCGUGGUGUGUCGCGUAUCCAAUCACGACGUUCGUCAGCUAUAGCGUUAAGCAUCCCGCUACGAGAGUACGUUCGCAAGACUGAUACUCAAAUGAAUUGACGCGGUCUCGCACACGCGGUGGAGCAUGUGCUUCAAUUUGACGCAUCGCGAAGAACCUUACCUGGGCUCGAAGCUGCAGUGGACCAAGGUGGAAACAUCCCUUUCCGCAAGGAGUACUGCGGAGGUGCUGCAUGGAAGUCGUCAGCUCGUGUCUUCGAGAUGUUGGGUUAAUUAUCGCAACGAGCGACAGGAGUUAUCGUUAGUAGGGAUCAGGUCAAGCUGGGCACUCUAGCGAGACAGCCUCUGAUAACGGGGAGGAAGGUGGGGAUGACGUCAAGUCCUCAUAGUCUUUAUGUUCAGGGCGACACACGUGCUACAAUGGUCGGUACAGACCGUAGCAAAAUCGCGAGGGGGAGCUAAUCGGAAAAAGCCGGCCUCAGUUUGGAUUGGAGUCUGCAACUCGACUCCAUGAAGCUGGAAUCGCUAGUAAUCGCAGAUCAGAACGCUGCGGUGAAUAUGUUUUCUGGCCUAGUACACACCGCGCGUCACAUCACGAAAGUGGGUGAUACUAGAAGCCGUCCCGCACAACCCGCAAGGGGGGCAGACGUCCAAGGUAUGACUCAUGAUUGGGGUG